CCCAUUGAAUUGUUUCACUUGCAUGCUUGGAUUUUAGCCAUAAUCCACAAAAAUUUCCUUCACCAAAGUUGUUCCCCACAUCAAAAGGAAGCCAUUGAUACUAAUUUGAGAAGGUGGAAGUUGAAAUUGGGCUGUUCAAGGGGCUGCCAUCCAAGGUACUGGAGACCAGGCUCACCCGACACAGCCGCCACAGUAGCGUCUGACAGAGCUCUGACCAGAUCUGCCACUGUCUAGAGUCACCUCACUGGUCUUUUGUAUUUUGGUAGGGCC
RNAcentral lists this unclassified non-coding RNA (270 nucleotides) under Hevea brasiliensis (rubber tree). The record is from RNAcentral. Lineage: Eukaryota; Viridiplantae; Streptophyta; Magnoliopsida; Malpighiales; Euphorbiaceae.